Molecule: RNA transcript, 4973 nt
Organism: Anolis carolinensis (green anole)
Lineage: Eukaryota; Metazoa; Chordata; Lepidosauria; Squamata; Anolidae
Gene: shld2
Gene name: shieldin complex subunit 2
Exons: 9
Source: RefSeq, a predicted model, not a curated record
UCGAAAGCCGCAUGCGCGCCCACAGAAGCAGGGGCGGGGAAAGCAGAAGCAAGGCUCUUCCUAAUUGGCCGGCUUGGUUUGCCCCGCCCUCUAUUCCUCUAUCGGGACGGUUUCCUUUUUCUUUCAAAGUGUCGGUACGUUGUUUGGCGGCUGGCCUAGGGAUUCCGCGCGCGCAGGGAGGAUCCUGGAGAAGCCUCCAACUCCCAGAAGCCCCAGCCAGCUCGUUCAAUGGACAUCAAGCAUCUGAAAUUUCUGCUACAAGUCUUGGACUCCUGAUUUCAAUUUAAUGACUUCAUAAAUCCAUCACCAUAUGCCUUGCCAUUGCUUCCAUGAACACUUAAUGUGAGAAGACUGGUACUUCUGUUUUAAGCCUCAAGAUUUGGACAUCGUGGAAAAUAGACGACUACAUCUAUAUAAAUACCAGCUGGAAAUUUUAAUUACUGCCCCUGUCAUUUCCAUGUGUUCAUACUAUUUAAUGAAAUUGGAUGUUUUAUUAUGCAUGGAGAGACACAAAUGGGUUUUGGAGGCAACAGCAUUUAUGCUUUUAAAUGACUAUCCCAAGAAAGCAUAUUUUCCUGAUUCACAAUAACUCCUCAUUGCAGACAGAGAUGUAACAAGCUACUCUCUACAAUAGCUACGUUUCCAUUAUUGCACUUGUAUAGUAAGAUAGAAUGACUUUUAGGACUUAAUAGCACUCUGCAAUGGUAUAAAGAAAAUAUAAAAUUAACUCCUAAUCUGUAAAGUACAUGAAAUCUGAAGUAUUCAGUCACAAAACGUGAUGAGUUUUGUUUAGAGUGUUCAUUAUUAUUUAUUAUAUGAAUGGUCCACAUUAAUGUGCAAAUUGGUAGAAUGGCAUUUAUUUCUUUUGUUAGCCUAUGAAGAUUUAGAUUGCUAGUUACCCUUGAAUGAAUUAUUUGAAAUUUUAAAAUGACCUUUUAGACAUUUUCUAUGAAAUGAAUUUGUUUAUUAAAAGAGCUUGAUUUUUUUCUAUAAUCAAAUCUUUGGAAGGAAAACAUGUCUGGAGCCUCUCAAAUUCAUAUUUUUGUUGGUGCACCCAUCAUCCCAACUUUAUUAAAGAAGCCCAAAGAAGAUAGAUCUUCAACAGAUACUUUUGAAAAAUGGAAAAAACUCUAUCUUUCAUUUACCAAAGACACUUCUUUGCUUUGUGCGAAAAAAGACAGAUGUCCAGAUCAUGCAGACCAUCAGAUGCCAAAAAGUGAAGCAUUGACUGCCUGCUUUAAAGAUGAAUUCACACCAAACUUUGGUGGAAAAAGUGAGAUAGCAAAUUUGACAGACUGUGCAGUUUAUUCUCAAAGUAUAAAAUCCUUUAGCAAUACAAAUGAGAUAGGUGAGUCAACUGGCAUCAUUUGUCAUGUCUCUGGAGAUGUAAAUAGUACAAAGAAUCAAAUGAAUCAUCUUAUAUAUAAGGACCUUUUCAAUCCAGUGAAGAUAAAUGAACAACAAAGCAAACAGUCUGAAGACAAUGAAGAAGAUAUCAAUUCCAUGAAGCGUAAUGACUUCGAUAUUUCUCUGUUAGCUCCCAGUACUAGUAGAAAUAUCAAUAAAAUGAAGUCUGCGGAACAAGAUGAUAACCCACCAGCCUUUCAGUGUGAUCAUUGCCAGCCCCUGGGACAAUAUGUGAAGACAAGUUGCCCACAAAAAAUGGACAAAUCAAAAAUGGAUAAACCACUUCAUUUAUGUACCUGCCUUGGAAUAUCAACAGACACUGAAUACCAUAGUAUUCUGACUUCAAGUCAGGCAGCUUUACUUUCAGGAAGGCAUGCUGUAGAACAAAAUUCAAUUCCGAUCAAACCUGCACAAGAGCAAGGAGUGAAAAUGUAUGAAUCUUGUAGGGAUCUUGAAACAGUAUUGGAUCCGUUUAUCCAGAUAAAUGAAAAUGGUAGUGUAUAUCCUGACCUGGAUGAAUUAAAUUGUAGACAUACUUAUGAGAGCUCUCUUGAACUUUUUGAUUCUAAUAGUCCUGAAAAAGAGAACUUAAUUUUCGAAGAGACCCACUUUCAGGAAAAUGUUGGCCUGUCCACACACCAUUCACCUGAUAAUAAACCUAAUAAUGAGUUAUGUUAUACUGAACAAUCAAAGACAGAAACACUGUGUUUUCAAAGAGACUUGUCUGCAAAAAGGCCCCGAACAUUUGAAGAUAUCUCACCUGCAAUUCACUUUAGAAGCGGAAACGAGAAGCGGUCAAAGAAAGCCAUGUCAGCUUAUUCUUCCAUAUGUCCAGUUCCACAAGUAAAGGAGCAGAACAUUUUAAGAAGCAAAACAGUUCAAAAGUACUCAUCAUUGCUUAAAGAAUGUAUCAGCAAAGGUCAAAAAUACACUGUCCUAGUCACAGUACUGCACCCUUGCCAUGUGAAAGAAAUAAAGAUCAAGUCAGGAACUAAAUUACCCUCAAGGGUCCCAUUAGCCACAGUUGUCGUUUUUGAUCAAUCAGAAAUACAACGGAAGGUGGUGUUAUGGAGAGCAGCAGCAUUUUGGUCACUGACAGUCUUUCCUGGGGACAUCAUUCUACUUACAGAUGUCAUUCUAUAUGAAAACUCCUGGACUGGGGAAACAAUGCUACAAUCAACUUUUACCACUCAGUUACUCAAUCUUGGAAGCUGCUCCAAUAUUCAUCCAAAUAAAUUUUCCCAUAUAGUGGCUGUCAAUAUUCUCCAGGAUUUGUUGACAUAUGUGUCUUCAAAACAUGCCUAUCUGGAAACUCUCCCCCAAAGAAAGAGACAGACUUUGAACAAUAUACAACAUGUUCUACUUGAUGAACUCAGACCAGAUGUAUUGGUGCAUUCUGUCCUGAAAAUUGUUGACCUAACUGUCCUAACAGAAUCUACAUACAGUUUCAAGGGAGAAACACAAAGAAAAAUUGUUUUAACAGUGGAACAAAUCAAGGAUCAGAACUACACCUUGGUGUUAUGGGGGGCUUUAACUGCCCUCUAUCCUCAACUUCAGAGGAAAAGAGACCAUAUCUGGGAAUUUAAAUAUCUGUUUACUAAACACAAUCCUGUCUCUGGUGAACUGGAACUGCACACAACGCCCUGGUCAACCCUGGAGUGUCUCUUUGAUGAUGACCAGAGAGCUGUAAAAUUCAAAGAAAAGUUUGAAAAGGACCUCAGAUUAUUCACGUGUGUGACAACUCUCGCUACACACCUAGAGGAGAAGUGUUCUGGAGUGAUUCAGGUGAAAGUCCAUAUCUCAGAACUGAAAUUUACUGUUGCUUCCUCUCCACAUGAAAUUGUUUUUGAUGCAAGCGUUUCAUUACAGUAUAUAGUCACUUCGCUUGCUCUGAUCACUUAUGUGGGCUGUGCAAAAUGUGGACGUGAACUUCAAGCAGAUGAAAACAAGAUCUACAAACAAUGCAAUCAGUGUUUACCAUCCAAUAAAGUGAAAACAUUCUACAGAGCUUAAUUUCAGCCUGUCCAUGGAAUCUCUUUUCUGUGCUACGGCUUAGCCCUGGGCCAUAUGUUAGCUUCUCGUGUUGCCUACAUUUAGAUAAUACACAAUGCUCGCUUCUGCGUCCUGCUUUCAUGAUACUCUAGGAUUUGAACAACAAAUGGAAUGUUGGGUGGAGUAGAUUCUUUAGCAUCUGUACACACACAUACCCACCAUCUGCUAUAUUUGAAUAAAUAGCUAUAUAACUACAGUAAAUAGAUACGUUCAUCUGUGUGAAAGUGUACUGAGCAUGCCCUGAUCUGACACUGCAUGAUUUGUAAAGUGCAGUAUCAGAUUAACCACAGAAUUGUAUCCUUGAUUAUAUCUAAAUAUUAAAUAGCGAGCGAACAGCAUAUUUUGUGUUUCUUUUGCCUUUUGAUAAUGGGAGAAGUUUCUUUUCAAAACCAGGAGUGACAUACAUUUGCUUUGGAUUUUAAAACCAUCCCAGGCCUAAGAUAACUCUGAGAAGCCACAGAUACAGCAACAUCCAUUAUUUUCAGUCUCUGGCUUGUGAAGAGAACAAACAAUUCUUUAACACUUGCAUAGCCUUUUGUUUGUAUAUAUCAAUAUCUGAACAAAUGUUGCACUCAGUAUGGCAAUAUUUUACUUCAAACUUGUAGCCACAGUGGGACAGCAGGUUAAACUGCUAAACUGCAGAACUUGCUGACCCAAAGGUCGGCGGUUCAAAUCCGUGGACGGGGUGAGCUCCCGUUGUUAGCCCCAGCUUCUGCCAACCUAAUAGUUUGAAAAUAUGCAAAUGUGAGGGUUGUUGUAUGUUUUCCGGGCUGUAUGGCCAUGUUCUAGAAGUACUAUCUCCUGAUGUUUCGCCCACAUCUAUGGCAGGCAUCCUCAGAGGUUGUGAUUUAAAACAUACAACAACCCUGUGAUCCCAGCCAUGAAAGUCUUGCAAAGUCUUUGCAAAUGUGAGUAGAUCAAUAGGUACCACUUCAGCAGGAAAGUAACGGUGCUCCAUGCAGUCAUGCUGGCUACAUGACCUAGGAGACAUCACCGACUGUUCGGCUUAGAAAUGGAGGUGAGCACUACCCCCCAGAGUCAGAUUCGACUAGACUUAAUGCCAAGGGGAAACAUACUUUUUACAGAAUUUUGUAACAUAUAUUGGGUUGAAAGGGUGGGGGGGAACUGAAGCGAAAACUGUGGGAAAUAAUAGGCUUUAUUCCAUUGUUCAGAAGUACAUUUUGAUUGCUUGUUCAGGUCUUAUCAUUAAAUCAAAGCAGUAUGUUAGAAAAAAGAUGCCAGCAGAAUAACAGUGUGUGACAGAAGGCAGUAACAUGCUUAAUUAUCCUAUCUGACUAUUAGAAUCAGAUGAUAAAAUAUAUUAUUAAAAAUGCAGGCAUGACUAUGUCCUUGUUUACUUUUUAGACCAGCACAAAUGAUCAUAGAAGAGGGAGGAUAUGAAAUCUGUGUUCAGGUGACAUCAGAACUGAUUGAGAAAAUAUUCCUCAACAUUCCAGCUGAGUGGCAAAGCAAAACCAUAGAGCCUUCCUUAGAUACCACCUAUGGCAUGAUUG